This 593-nucleotide ribosomal RNA is filed under the name uncultured bacterium. Its description in RNAcentral is "bacterial SSU rRNA". It matches the Rfam family "Bacterial small subunit ribosomal RNA", at positions 8 to 612 of the family's 1533-position model. The record is from RNAcentral.
AGAGUUUGAUCCUGGCUCAGAGUGAACGCUGGCGGCGUGCCUAACACAUGCAAGUCGAACGAGAACGGAUUACAGCUUGCUGUAAUUGUCAGCUAAGUGGCGCACGGGUGAGUAAUAUAUAGUUAAUCUGCCCCAAAGAAGAGAAUAAUUGUUGGAAACGACUUGUAAUGCUCUAUAUGCCUUUAUCACAUAAGUGAGCAAGGGAAAUAUUUAUAGCUUUGGGAUGAGACUGUACGGUAUCAGCUAGUUGGUGAGGUAAUGGCUCACCAAGGCAAUGACAUCUAACUGGUUUGAGAGGAUGAUCAGUCACACUGGAACUGAGACACGGUCCAGACUCCUACGGGAGGCAGCAGUGGGGAAUAUUGCACAAUGGAGGGAACUCUGAUGCAGCAACGCCGCGUGGAGGAUGACACAUUUCGGUGCGUAAACUCCUUUUAUAUGAGAAGAUAAUGACGGUAUCAUAUGAAUAAGCACCGGCUAACUCCGUGCCAGCAGCCGCGGUAAUACGGGGGGUGCAAGCGUUACUCGGAAUCACUGGGCGUAAAGAGCAUGUAGGCUGUAGAUUAAGUUGGAAGUGAAAUCCUAUGGCUCAA